AUUGAACGCUGGCGGCAUGCCUUACACAUGCAAGUCGAACGGCAGCACGGGUGCUUGCCCCUGGUGGCGAGUGGCGAACGGGUGAGUAAUACAUCGGAACAUGUCCUGUAGUGGGGGAUAGCCCGGCGAAAGCCGGAUUAAUACCGCAUACGAUCUACGGAUGACAGCGGGGGACCUUCGGGCCUCGCGCUAUAGGGUUGGCCGAUGGCUGAUUAGCUAGUUGGUGGGGUAAAGGCCUACCAAGGCGACGACCAGUAGCUGGUCUGAGAGGACGACCAGCCACACUGGGACUGAGACACGGCCCAGACUCCUACGGGAGGCAGCAGUGGGGAAUUUUGGACAAUGGGCGAAAGCCUGAUCCAGCAAUGCCGCGUGUGUGAAGAAGGCCUUCGGGUUGUAAAGCACUUUUGUCCGGAAAGAAAUCCUUGGCUCUAAUACAGUCGGGGGAUGACGGUACCGGAAGAAUAAGCACCGGCUAACUACGUG
Molecule: ribosomal RNA, 486 nt
Filed under: uncultured bacterium
Lineage: Bacteria
Description: partial 16S ribosomal RNA
Rfam family: Bacterial small subunit ribosomal RNA
Source: RNAcentral